CCCUUAGAUGUUCUGGGCCGCACGCGCGCUACACUGAUGCAUUCAACGAGCCUAUCCUUGACCGACAGGUCCGGGUAAUCUUUGAAUCUGCAUCGUGACGGGGAUAGAUUAUUGCAAUUAUUAAUCUUCAACGAGGAAUGCCUAGUAGGCGCAAGUCAUCAGCUUGCGUCGAUUACGUCCCUGCCCUUUGUACACACCGCCCGUCGCUCCUACCGAUUGGGUGUGCUGGUGAAAUGUUCGAAUCGGCCGUUUGUCGCGGUUUCCGCGGCUCGUGGCUGAGAAGUUCAUUAAACCCUCCCACCUAGAGGAAGGAGAAGUCGUAACA
This 325-nucleotide ribosomal RNA is filed under the name uncultured eukaryote. RNAcentral describes it as "partial 18S ribosomal RNA". It matches the Rfam family "Eukaryotic small subunit ribosomal RNA", at positions 1470 to 1796 of the family's 1831-position model. The record is from RNAcentral.